GAUGAACGCUGGCGGCGUGCCUAAUACAUGCAAGUCGAGCGAACGGACGAGAAGCUUGCUUCUCUGAUGUUAGCGGCGGACGGGUGAGUAACACGUGGAUAACCUACCUAUAAGACUGGGAUAACUUCGGGGAACCGGAGCUAAUACCGGAUAAUAUUUUGAACCGCAUGGUUCAAAAGUGAAAGACGGUCUUGCUGUCACUUAUAGAUGGAUCCGCGCUGCAUUAGCUAGUUGGUAAGGUAACGGCUUACCAAGGCAACGAUGCAUAGCCGACCUGAGAGGGUGAUCGGCCACACUGGAACUGAGACACGGUCCAGACUCCUACGGGAGGCAGCAGUAGGGAAUCUUCCGCAAUGGGCGAAAGCCUGACGGAGCAACGCCGCGUGAGUGAUGAAGGUCUUCGGAUCGUAAAACUCUGUUAUUAGGGAAGAACAUAUGUGUAAGUAACUGUGCACAUCUUGACGGUACCUAAUCAGAAAGCCACGGCUAACUACGUGCCAGCAGCCGCGGUAAUACGUAGGUGGCAAGCGUUAUCCGGAAUUAUUGGGCGUAAAGCGCGCGUAGGCGGUUUUUUAAGUCUGAUGUGAAAGCCCACGGCUCAACCGUGGAGGGUCAUUGGAAACUGGAAAACUUGAGUGCAGAAGAGGAAAGUGGAAUUCCAUGUGUAGCGGUGAAAUGCGCAGAGAUAUGGAGGAACACCAGUGGCGAAGGCGACUUUCUGGUCUGUAACUGACGCUGAUGUGCGAAAGCAUGGGGAUCAAACAGGAUUAGAUACCCUGGUAGUCCACGCCGUAAACGAUGAGUGCUAAGUGUUAGGGGGGUUCCGCCCCUUAGUGCUGCAGCUAACGCAUUAAGCACUCCGCCUGGGGAGUACGACCGCAAGGUUGAAACUCAAAGGAAUUGACGGGGACCCGCACAAGCGGUGGAGCAUGUGGUUUAAUUCGAAGCAACGCGAAGAACCUUACCAAAUCUUGACAUCCUUUGACAACUCUAGAGAUAGAGCUUUCCCCUUCGGGGGACAAAGUGACAGGUGGUGCAUGGUUGUCGUCAGCUCGUGUCGUGAGAUGUUGGGUUAAGUCCCGCAACGAGCGCAACCCUUAAGCUUAGUUGCCAUCAUUAAGUUGGGCACUCUAAGUUGACUGCCGGUGACAAACCGGAGGAAGGUGGGGAUGACGUCAAAUCAUCAUGCCCCUUAUGAUUUGGGCUACACACGUGCUACAAUGGACAAUACAAAGGGCAGCGAAACCGUGAGGUCAAGCAAAUCCCAUAAAGUUGUUCUCAGUUCGGAUUGUAGUCUGCAACUCGACUACAUGAAGCUGGAAUCGCUAGUAAUCGUAGAUCAGCAUGCUACGGUGAAUACGUUCCCGGGUCU
RNAcentral lists this ribosomal RNA (1372 nucleotides) under uncultured bacterium. RNAcentral's name for it is "bacterial SSU rRNA". It matches the Rfam family "Bacterial small subunit ribosomal RNA", at positions 28 to 1381 of the family's 1533-position model. The record is from RNAcentral.